UGUCUCAAAAAAGAAAAAAAAAAAAAAUUGGAAUGAUAUAGAGAAGAUUAGCAUGGCCCCUAGCAAGGAUGACACACAAAUUCAUGAAGCAUCUGGUGGCACC
This is a small nuclear RNA of Nycticebus coucang (slow loris), 103 nucleotides long. Lineage: Eukaryota; Metazoa; Chordata; Mammalia; Primates; Lorisidae. The record is from RefSeq and is a predicted model, not a curated record.